Molecule: ribosomal RNA, 253 nt
Filed under: uncultured bacterium
Lineage: Bacteria
Also listed under: 1 other name
Description: partial 16S ribosomal RNA
Rfam family: Bacterial small subunit ribosomal RNA
Source: RNAcentral
UACGAAGGGGGCUAGCGUUGUUCGGAAUUACUGGGCGUAAAGCGCACGUAGGCGGAUACUUAAGUCAGGGGUGAAAUCCCGGGGCUCAACCCCGGAACUGCCUUUGAUACUGGGUAUCUGGAGUCCGGAAGAGGUGAGUGGAAUUCCGAGUGUAGAGGUGAAAUUCGUAGAUAUUCGGAGGAACACCAGUGGCGAAGGCGGCUCACUGGUCCGGUACUGACGCUGAGGUGCGAAAGCGUGGGGAGCAAACAGG